CGCCGCGGUGCUGAGGGAAGGGCUGUCGUGGCGGCGUGAGGGGCUGAGACAACUGAAAUGCUGAGAAUAUCACAAAACAAGAUGUUUGCAGCUUUGAAGUAUCACUCAACAGACUAUUUAUACGAGUUGGUUCAACACAGAACAUGAUGGCUAUUUCAGUAUUGGAUCAAUGGAAGAGAAGUUUACCUGUGGAGGAUUUCCUGGAAAAGAAACCUAUCUCCUCUGUAGAGUUUCAGAGUAGUAAUGAUUUAAUAGAAGUUAUUCCAAGUUCAAAUCCUUGCUCUCAGACUGACACAGAAGAAUCUUUUUUACUUAUGAAGAAUGGUUUUAAGGAAGACUCCACCCAAGACAAAUAUUUGAAGAUCUAUUAUGCCACUGAAUUUAAAGAACCACAAC
This 396-nucleotide long non-coding RNA is filed under the name Zonotrichia albicollis (white-throated sparrow). RNAcentral's name for it is "lncRNA (ENSZALG00000012516.1)". Lineage: Eukaryota; Metazoa; Chordata; Aves; Passeriformes; Passerellidae. The record is from RNAcentral.